UACGUAGGGUGCGAGCGUUGUCCGGAAUUACUGGGCGUAAAGAGCUCGUAGGUGGUUUGUCGCGUUGUUCGUGAAACUCACGGCUUAACUGUGAGCGUGCGGGCGAUACGGGCAGACUGGAGUACUGCAGGGAGACUGGAAUCCUGGUGUAGCGGUGGAAUGCGCAGAUAUCAGGAGGAACACCGGUGGCGAAGGCGGGUCUCUGGCAGUAACUGACGCUGAGGAGCGAAAGCGUGGGGAGCGAACAGG
RNAcentral lists this ribosomal RNA (249 nucleotides) under uncultured bacterium. RNAcentral's name for it is "partial 16S ribosomal RNA". It matches the Rfam family "Bacterial small subunit ribosomal RNA", at positions 524 to 776 of the family's 1533-position model. The record is from RNAcentral.